This 885-nucleotide ribosomal RNA is filed under the name Triticum aestivum (bread wheat). RNAcentral describes it as "partial small subunit ribosomal RNA". Lineage: Eukaryota; Viridiplantae; Streptophyta; Magnoliopsida; Poales; Poaceae. The record is from RNAcentral.
AUGAAAAGCGAGGUGCUCGUUGGCAAGCGGCUAGUGGGAGCAUACGACGGCGGCUGGGUCGCCGCUCUCGGGAAGGACAAGCAGCUUGACGAUGUGAACAUGUUCUCCGGUGUUGAGUUGCUCAUCCACGCAAAGAACAUGAGGAAUGUCUACUCGGGCUCAAAGGUUGUCUUCUCGAAAUCCCCCGUGUCAAGUGACUGCAUCCUCGCCACCAUCCCCCUGCGAAGUAGCAUCGCCGUCUGCAAGAUUGGUUGUCUGGCCGACAGAUGGACAACAAGCAGGUGUAUUGGGCAGAUCCUUAAGGACAUCGUAUUCUACAAUGGAAGAUUGUAUGGCCUCACCGCCUCAAUGGGCCUGAUCAAAUUCAAUAUAGGCGUGAACAAAUACGGCAGGCCUCUGGUCGCUGUUGACGUCGAGUUGCGUAUCCAGAUUGAUAAUGAACCUUUCAUAUGGUCAACUACCAUUGUUGAGCUGCGAGCCAAGCUAGCGAUGGUGCUAGGGAAAUUGCCAUUAUACAACAACAGCCGCGAGCCUUUCUUCAAGGUUUUUGUGCUGGCGGAUGAAUCGAUGACAAAGUAUGCUUGUAAGUGGGAGGAGGUAAUGAGCUUGGGAGACUGUGCCUUAUUUUUGGGGAAAAUGUCCAGGGCGGUUGAUGUGCCAGCAGUUGGACUUGGCAGCGUGGAGAGAAACCACAUCUACGCUGAUGAUAUGACAUACUUGACACGUUUGGAUGGUCAUGGUAAUCGUGUAUAUCCUAUGCUAGACGAAAGUAGUGACAAUGUCGCGCAGAGGGUCAAAUUAGCAGGAUCUUAUGUAGCAGCUCGCGAUCAAACUGGCAUGUGGGUACUCCCUCUUGGCAUAUGGGUACUCCCUCCUUAUUUCUAG